This 1019-nucleotide long non-coding RNA is filed under the name Monodelphis domestica (gray short-tailed opossum). RNAcentral's name for it is "lncRNA (ENSMODG00000041216.1)". The record is from RNAcentral. Lineage: Eukaryota; Metazoa; Chordata; Mammalia; Didelphimorphia; Didelphidae.
AUCUAUCUAUCUAUCUAUCUAUCUAUCUAUCUAUCUGUCUGUCUGUCUCUCUCUCUCUCUGUCUCUGUCUCUCUCUCUGUCUCUGUCUCUCUCUCUCUCUCUCUCUCUCUCUGUCUCUGUCUCUCUCUCUCUCAGAUGGCAUGAGGGGCUCUGUCACAGGCCACACAAAGUCAGAGGAUGCAAAUGUUUGUUUAGUUUUUUAAAACCUUUAUCAUGUGUCUUAGAGUCAACACUAAAGAUCCAUUCCAAGGGAGAAGAGCGGUAAGGGCUAGGCAACUGAGGCCAAGUGACUCCCCCAGGGUCACAGAGCUAGGAAUGGUCUGAAGCCAGAUUUAAACUCAGGACUUCCUAACUCUAGGCCUGGUGUUCUCUCCACUGAGCCACCUAGAUGCCCACUAAAAUGGAGUCCCCACUCCAUAAAACAAACAAACAAACAAACAAAACCCCUUGUCUUCUGUCUUAGAAUCAAUAAGAAGCAUGGAUUCCAAGGCAGAAGAGCUGAAGAGCCUUAGGGCUAGACAAUGGCCAUUAAAUGACUUGUCUUGGGUCACACAGCUAGAAAGUGUCUGAGGCCACAUUUGAACCCAGGUCCUCCCAUCUCCAGAUCUGGUGUCCUAUCCACUGAUCUACCCACCUGCCCAGAAUGUAAACACCUAAAAGAGUGAUAUUCUAAAAUUGUACAGGUUUUGAAUCUUAUAUUUCCCUUUUGACAGAUACAUACAUUCCUUCAGCAGAGUAGAAACCAUUGCGUUUAGCCCUGAGCUAGCAAAAAUAUGCAGUUAAAAUAGGAAGUAUCCAGAUGGCCAGCUCCUCCCUGCCUCCCUUGGAUAGUCUCAGCAGGUCCCAGGGUCUCUAUCUCCUUUCCCCCAUGGCAGGGGGAUGGGAGGGGGCAGAAGAUCCGUAGUCUCCCCUCUCACUCACCUGAGUGUGUCGUAAUUACUUGCUCUAGUACUUUUUACAUCAUGAUUUCCAUAAUUCAUUUGAGGGAGCAUUUUGCAAUGGGCUCUCCAAUCAAGUUC